Molecule: ribosomal RNA, 253 nt
Filed under: uncultured bacterium
Lineage: Bacteria
Description: partial 16S ribosomal RNA
Rfam family: Bacterial small subunit ribosomal RNA
Source: RNAcentral
UACGGAGGGUGCAAGCGUUGUCCGGAUUCACUGGGUUUAAAGGGUGCGUAGGCGGGUUGGUAAGUCCGUGGUGAAAUCUCCGAGCUUAACUCGGAAACUGCCGUGGAUACUAUCAAUCUUGAAUAUCGUGGAGGUAAGCGGAAUAUGUCAUGUAGCGGUGAAAUGCUUAGAUAUGACAUAGAACACCAAUUGCGUAGGCAGCUUACUACACGAUCAUUGACGCUGAGGCACGAAAGCGUGGGGAGCAAACAGG